ACAAAAUUCGUGUACGCGCAGCAUCGCAGAACGUAAGAGCUGGUAAGCGCUAACGAACGAUACGCGCAGAACGAUAUUUGACUUGAAUUUGACGUGUAUGUAUGUAAAGGGCACUACCGAAUCCUUUGUAGGCGAGAGGUUCGAAAGCAUUUAUAAAAAUGGCGUCAUCCGGCGCCACUACGUGUGGAUAAUUUUACUGGCUGCCGCAAGAUGACGUUCGCUGUUUAUCAACUGUAUUUGGGUAACUUUCAAAGUUGGCUAUCCGCCGUCUUUAGAUGACGCUAUCGGCAUCCGAGCUCACGGCUAUUCUUGGCGAUAUUACGCGCGCCAUUGCAAUUCACCGUUAGCAAACGAGAAAGAGAGAGAAAUGAUGAGGCAUACAGGAAAAGAAGGGCGUGAAUCGCGUGGGUACACUGGCGAAGAGAGGAGAAGGAACUUUCCCCGCCCUCCUCUUUUCCCCCUCUUUGGGCUGUGAGGUCGACCUAAAUGGAUUUCCACUGUGCAGUGUCUAUCGUGAUGAAACCGUCAGGAAACCAAACAGUUCCGUGUGCGGAGCAGUUCGCCGGCGUCCUUUCGCGUUCUUUCGCCAGAAGGACUCACGUCGGUAUUACGCUCUACGCGUGAGAGUGCAGGACAACGUGCAGAAGAAGGACGGACGGGCGUGGAUCCUUGGGCUGGACACGGAACGCCGGAGCGGCGGAGCAGAGCAGGGCACGUCAGGCCAAGGGAGCAAUGUCCCUUCAGAGUUAUCCCCUUCCUCGAGCUAUCGCGCGUACUUGCGACGGAGAGGUAUGUACGCCGUUACUUGCUUCCAUGCGCACUCUCUCUUCCCGGUCACGGCGCGGUCGCUCGCUUUUUAUGGCAGAGAGCCGCAAGCCCGAAUAUCUCUUGUACGAGGCUUUCCCGAAAGAGUUUCCCGCCGCAUACGAUUUCACGUUUCAACCCCACGCAGCAGAGCGGUUGCGCGUAUAAACAGCCAGCGAGAUUUUCGUUGAGCUCUUUGAUUGAGGUGUGUAAUAAAAGAAAAAGAACGCAAUCUAUGA
Linepithema humile (Argentine ant) is the source of this 1043-nucleotide non-coding RNA. The record is from RefSeq and is a predicted model, not a curated record. NCBI's taxonomy places the organism in Eukaryota, Metazoa, Arthropoda, Insecta, Hymenoptera, Formicidae.